RNAcentral lists this ribosomal RNA (472 nucleotides) under uncultured bacterium. RNAcentral's name for it is "bacterial SSU rRNA". It matches the Rfam family "Bacterial small subunit ribosomal RNA", at positions 355 to 825 of the family's 1533-position model. The record is from RNAcentral.
UGGGGAAUAUUGGACAAUGGGCGAAAGCCUGAUCCAGCCAUGCCGCGUGUGUGAAGAAGGUCUUCGGAUUGUAAAGCACUUUAAGUUGGGAGGAAGGGCAGUAAGCUAAUACCUUGCUGUUUUGACGUUACCGACAGAAUAAGCACCGGCUAACUCUGUGCCAGCAGCCGCGGUAAUACAGAGGGUGCGAGCGUUAAUCGGAAUUACUGGGCGUAAAGCGCGCGUAGGUGGUUUGUUAAGUUGGAUGUGAAAGCCCCGGGCUCAACCUGGGAACUGCAUCCAAAACUGGCAAGCUAGAGUACGGUAGAGGGUGGUGGAAUUUCCUGUGUAGCGGUGAAAUGCGUAGAUAUAGGAAGGAACACCAGUGGCGAAGGCGACCACCUGGACUGAUACUGACACUGAGGUGCGAAAGCGUGGGGAGCAAACAGGAUUAGAUACCCUUGUAGUCCCUGAGCGGGCUGGCAAGGCGCAU